UGCCUUUUUGUGUUGCCCAUUCUUUGCAUUUUCCAUUAAAGAAUGUGGUGUCAAUAAAGGCAUACAGUAAAGUCCUGGUCCGGCCUUUACCAGGUAACUCUAGUGUUACCUCAGGCGAAGCUCUGUACCAGGCACACAC
This is a small nucleolar RNA of Silurus meridionalis, 139 nucleotides long. RefSeq annotates it as small nucleolar RNA SNORA13. The record is from RefSeq and is a predicted model, not a curated record. The transcript has a single exon. NCBI's taxonomy places the organism in Eukaryota, Metazoa, Chordata, Actinopteri, Siluriformes, Siluridae.